This 2181-nucleotide ribosomal RNA is filed under the name Triticum aestivum (bread wheat). Its description in RNAcentral is "partial small subunit ribosomal RNA". Lineage: Eukaryota; Viridiplantae; Streptophyta; Magnoliopsida; Poales; Poaceae. The record is from RNAcentral.
GUACAGACUGCAUCCCUAUUCCGCACAGACCACCACGGCCUCGCUCCACGGCCCGCCGCGAGGCGAUGAAAAGGGGCAGGGACCUCUCACUCGCGGCCGGUUGUCCGGCCCGUGGCAGUUCAGCCCGGAGUGGCCUCCAGGAAGAAGGGCAAGGACCUCGCCAAUAUGGACUUGUAUCGUCUCGACGACGCUUAGACUCCUUGAAGUAGUCUAGGAAAUGUAAGGUUUUUUGUUCGACUCCGUUAUACACGUGGGCCAGGACGUAUAGAACCCAAGACUCUUACAACAGUCGAGUAGUUGAGUUAUUCACCGCACCCAGACCUUAUUCACGGGGUUGAAAAGAAUUGGACCACAUUCACUGACUCCAAAAGACAAAGAGAGAUUCCGAUAUUGUAGACACGUAAUAGCUACGUCAUUAUAACUCUUUGGCUGGUUACAGCACGGUUGGCCAACAUUAUAACCGUUUGACGCGGUUGAUACACAUUGUUACCUUUAGUACUGGGAAAGUAUGACGAAAUAAUGUUCAAUGCAAUGUGACACAGUGAUAAGUUGGAUAUCAUGGAGAUAAGAAGUCAAGUAAUAUGUAUGACGAAGGUCAUAGAUGGAUAGUACAAAAAGAUACGGAUACCGAGAUAAAAAAUGGGUUGAACGACAGGAAAAGUAGUGAUAGGAAUAUCAUACAACAAAUAACUUAACUUUCUUCAAUGUGCAAUUAUCCUGACCUACACGUAAUAAGACGACAUCAAUACCGUCCUACGUCAGAUAGUCUGUCAGAUGAAUACAAUGGUAAGUAGUCUGGUAGUCACGUAAAAGAGUAAGAAAAAAGGGAAGUCAGAACCCAAACCGAAAGUAAGAGAAACAAGUCAGAAAUAGAAAAAGAGCGAGAGAAAUAACUUCAUAAUACGUAAAUGAAGUAGGAAGAGAGUGGUUUUACAUACGGUCUAGAAAAGAGGUAGUCGUCUACUGUUAGGAGUCAAAGGUGAUAAAACGUCUACUGUUAGAAGUCAACAGUUACGUAAAAACCCCCCGAAAACCUAAGGUUAAAACAGCCAAAAAACGACGGAAGGCUAAACCACGCUUAUUUGUCUCGUCUUCCCCUCUCUCUCUCUCUCUCGUCACCGAAAACUCACCUAGUGAAGUCAAAAGUCCGCAAUCGAAUAGGGUUUGUCUGUCUUAAAUUUCGAUUCAAACCCUAAACCUUGGUCUCGUCCGGAUGUUAUUAGUUUUAGUUUUAAACUGACUCUGGGUUUAGUUUAAGUCAGAUUACUAGCAAUCUGUGCGGGUUGAUGUUACUAGAUAGUGGCCACUGUUUGAUCGUUAGUCGGUUAUUCAAACCUUCAACCUUGACUACUCACUCUGGGUUCAAGUCUUAGUUUUAAACUGGCUCUGGGUUUUAGUUGUAGUUCGAAACUGACUCUAGUUUUAGUUUAGGUCAGUUGACUACUGACUGACUGUGAGGGUUGAUGUCAUUAGACAGCGUCUAAGUGACCAAUGUCUGACGUCAACUUUGCCGACGUCAAAUGAAGAACGACAACUCUGCCGUAUAGUGGACGUCGACGUCCACCAGCAGCGGCCUCUGCACCUCCACGUCCGCCUCCAGCCUGUCGUCGAGGACGGACCGGGUCCAGUCGCCGGGGAACCGCACCUUGCGGAACUACUGCGAGUGCAUCCGGAGGUCGAGGUCUGGUACCUACGCCACGAGUACGAGGAGUGAAACGACUACGAGUGGACGUAUAACGUGAAACGCCGUAAUUAGGGAAAAGAACUUCGAUUUCCGGUAAAAACGAGUACAAACACCAUCGUAGUUAUGUAAUCGGCUCUUUUUACAUCCAUCUGAUUUCUUGUUUUACUAAUAUACCAUACGAAACAGACUAACAAAAGGAAAGACUGGAAAGUUAACCAACUGUUUUAUGGCCACAAGAAAGCAGUUAUGGACUUAUUCAGUAUGACAGAUCCUGUAUGGUCUCAACGACUCUUAGACUCCUUGAGGUAGUCUAGAAACAUCAAAAUCUCUGUGUUCAACUCUGUUAUACACGAUCGGUCAGGACACGUACAACCCAAGACUCCUACAAUAGUCGAGUCGUUGAGUCAUUCACCGCAGCCAGACCUCCGGGAUUGAAAAGAAUUGGACCACAUUGAACAUUCACUUACUCUAAAAGACGAAAAAAAGGACAUUCCGAC